RNAcentral lists this ribosomal RNA (759 nucleotides) under uncultured bacterium. Its description in RNAcentral is "bacterial SSU rRNA". It matches the Rfam family "Bacterial small subunit ribosomal RNA", at positions 63 to 835 of the family's 1533-position model. The record is from RNAcentral.
UGAGCGGAGAUUAUGGAGCUUGCUUUAUAUAACUUAGCAGCGAACGGGUGAGUAACACGUAGAUAAUCUAUCCUAUACUGGGGGAUAGCCCGAUGAAAGUUGGAUUAAUACCGCAUAUAGCUAUAUAGUUGCAUGAUUAUGUAGUGAAAGAUUUAUUGGUAUAGGAGGAGUCUGCGGCACAUUAGCUAGUAGGUGAGGUAAAGGCUUACCUAGGCGACGAUGUGUAGCCGGUCUGAGAGGAUGAACGGCCACAAUGGAACUGAGACACGGUCCAUACUCCUACGGGAGGCAGCAGUGGGGAAUAUUGCACAAUGGGGGAAACCCUGAUGCAGCAACGCCGCGUGAGUGAAGAAGGUUUUCGGAUUGUAAAGCUCUGUUAGCAGGGAAGAGGAAGGACGGUACCUGCAGAGGAAGCCACGGCUAACUACGUGCCAGCAGCCGCGGUAAUACGUAGGUGGCAAGCGUUGUUCGGAAUAACUGGGCGUAAAGGAUGCGUAGGCGGUUAAACAAGUUAUAUGUUAAAUAUAUAGGCUUAACCUGUAGAAAGCAUAUAAAACUGUUUAACUAGAGUGCAGGAGAGGUAAGUGGAAUUCCUAGUGUAGCGGUGAAAUGCGUAGAGAUUAGGAAGAACACCAGUGGCGAAAGCGACUUACUGGACUGUAACUGACGCUGAGGCAUGAGAGCAUGGGGAGCAAACAGGAUUAGAUACCCUGGUAGUCCAUGCUGUAAACGAUGGGUACUAGGUGUGGGUUGUGAAUA